AACGAUACUCUAAACAACGGCUUCCAACAACCCGCUUCAACUAGUAGCGGCGGCUGCGUCGCCGUUCCCAGCACAUGCAGCGCAGGCACAGAGGAAGAAGCAGACAUUGCGGAAGACUACGAGAGCAGUUGGACUCCCGAUCACACCUGUAAUGCCGAAGAAAUCGAGCAGUACUUCAAGACCCUGGGCAAUACUCUACUCUUCGCGGAGGUCCAGAGCUGACGUCCAUACAUGUGAUUUCAUGCAUACACAGACGACACCGAUAAUGGAAGCGCCGCCUUCCAACUUCCGAUCUCCAGCACGAGUGUCGAGGAAGCAAUGCCGAGUACGAGCGAUGGAGAUAUUGAAGCAGCACCAGACUUAUUGAGAACCGAC
Rhipicephalus sanguineus (brown dog tick) is the source of this 375-nucleotide long non-coding RNA. RefSeq lists it as uncharacterized. NCBI's taxonomy places the organism in Eukaryota, Metazoa, Arthropoda, Arachnida, Ixodida, Ixodidae. The transcript has 3 exons. The record is from RefSeq and is a predicted model, not a curated record.